Molecule: non-coding RNA, 535 nt
Organism: Onthophagus taurus
Lineage: Eukaryota; Metazoa; Arthropoda; Insecta; Coleoptera; Scarabaeidae
Source: RefSeq, a predicted model, not a curated record
UAUACGCGUUAAUUUUAUGAGUGUCUUUUAAGUUUGAUUUUUAAUCGCGAUGGUUAUAAAAAUUAAAGGGUUCUGAAGAAACGGAAUGGUUUAAACGAGGAACAGGUAUACGAUUAAGUUCAAGUGUGACAUGUCAGUUAAUAAUGGCUGGCUGACCUUGGAUGACCCUGGGAUGGGUAUUCUUCGGUAAUAGAAGUUUGGGAAGCUCGGGAAAUUUAGUUCUCGGGUCCUUCGAGAACAGAAUGGAAAAUAGGGUACAUAUCGAACUAAGAUAAACGCACUUUCGGGUGUCAACAGGUGUCAAUUUCCUUCGAGAAAGUCGUAAUUUGAUGUUGAAGUUUGGAAUUGAAAAAUUGGAAUUUAAAUAUAAAAAAUGAUACCGAAAUGGAUGAAAUUGCGGCCUAUGGGUUAAAUCGAUACAAUCUAUCGAUCUCGCAUGUUUCUAGAAUCUAAAUUCGUCUGAAAAGUCGCCUAAAUCAAUAGGUUCACUGGUUUUCAUGUUAUAAUCAAAAUACUAUACAUGUAAAAUGCUAUU